This 224-nucleotide unclassified non-coding RNA is filed under the name Hevea brasiliensis (rubber tree). Lineage: Eukaryota; Viridiplantae; Streptophyta; Magnoliopsida; Malpighiales; Euphorbiaceae. The record is from RNAcentral.
GCUCAGUCCCGUGCGUCGUCGUCGGUAGUCGACCGCCCGACGUCCGUCUCAGCCAGUCGCCGGUCGCCGGUCGCGGAUUCUGUGUGUUAGGAUUUGGGUUGUUGGCGGUGCACUUAAGUUGUUUUGAUAAAGAGACGUUUGGAUAAGGGCAAGGGUGUUUGGCGCGGCUGGCGAGAGGUUGCAACGCCGGCCAUGGGAAUGAAUUAGUUGAAAGUUGGGUCAUU